Molecule: long non-coding RNA, 895 nt
Filed under: Olea europaea subsp. europaea
Lineage: Eukaryota; Viridiplantae; Streptophyta; Magnoliopsida; Lamiales; Oleaceae
Source: RNAcentral
CCCACACAAAUACACCAAGAGCAGUUUAUGCAAUAUUCAGCCGUUAAUUAAAAUCGUUCAAUCAAGUUAUAAUCGAUCCUUUUACGCUGAUUUUUUAGCAGAAGAAGUUUGAAAUGGACAGAAUAAGAGAUUUGGCUUCAAAAAAGGCAGCAGUGAUUUUCACCAAGAGUUCAUGUUGCAUGUGUUACAGUAUAAAGCAACUGUUCUAUCAAUUAGGUGCAAGUCCUGCUGUACAUGAACUUGAUAAAGAAGCAAGGGGGAGAGAAAUGGAGUUAGCCUUGAAAAGCUUAGGCUGCCGCCCUACCGUGCCCGCCGUGUUCAUAGGCGGCGUAUAUAUCGGCUCUGCCACGGAUGUCAUCUCUUUCCAUGUUGAUGGAUCUCUAAAGCAAAUGCUCAUUAAUGCCAAAGCUAUAUGGUUCUAGCUAGUUAUCUCUUGCUAAUAGCUCGUUAAUCACCUUGUAAAUUGUGAUUAAUGGCUUCCUAAUUUUGUCGAUUCCGGUGAACUUUUCUUUCCCUUUUUUCUUCUGUCAAGUCGUGUAAAUCUGGGCAUGCUCUUUGGACUAUGGACAGCAAGGCCAGAUUCUCUGUGCUCGCGGCAUGCACACGGGUCCACACAGACCAUUUAAACCUUUUAACUUUAUCUUGUAUCUUUGUCUCAACGCAAGUCAUGCCUCACUUUUUGUAUACGGGUCGGCCUAGUAAAAAAAUACGAGUCAUGCUGGCCCGUAGGCGACUUGAAGUGGAUCGACUGAAAAGGGUCUGAGUUGAAUCACUUUACACUUUGUUGUGAUGAGAAAUAUUGAUUUGGUGAAAUGGCUAGAGGACUUUUUUAUGAGAUUAAUUUUCCAACGGUAAUUGGCAUAAAAAGUUCCUACCUUUCAUGAUGAUUGUGAAA